Hydra vulgaris (swiftwater hydra) is the source of this 491-nucleotide non-coding RNA. The record is from RefSeq and is a predicted model, not a curated record. Lineage: Eukaryota; Metazoa; Cnidaria; Hydrozoa; Anthoathecata; Hydridae.
AAAAGGGUUAAAAACUAAUUUAGGUCAUUACCAGUUUUAUGGAUUGAAAUGCGUGAUUCAGAUUCCGAUUAUAUAAAAUCUGAAAAUGGAAAGUAGUUUUCCGUAUCAAUUUCAACCUCAAACCUGAAGUUUCCUACAGUUGCAAUCCGAAAUUCAAAAUGGGCCUCUUCAAAAUGCAUCAUCUACUAUCUGCUCUCUCUCGUCAUUAUUUUUAAACGGUUUAUCUUUUAGUAAAAAAGGAAAUGAUUAUCGAAAACUAAUAUUAUUAGAAGAGAUUAAACAAAAUAAUCAAACUAUAAUUUUUCUUCUGCAACAAUUAUCAGCACAACAGCAGCGUGGUAAUAUAGAAACAAGGUUUGAUGAGUUUGGGCUUCCUGUUUCAUAAAUGGAACAUUUACAAAAACUAGAAACAGAUUGCCUUGACAAUGACCUCCGAGGAAAGCGAGGAAGAAGGAAUAAACUAUUAUAACAAAUCUAAAAACAAUUAUAAC